This 332-nucleotide ribosomal RNA is filed under the name uncultured Spirochaetota bacterium. RNAcentral's name for it is "bacterial SSU rRNA". It matches the Rfam family "Bacterial small subunit ribosomal RNA", at positions 29 to 351 of the family's 1533-position model. The record is from RNAcentral. Lineage: Bacteria; Pseudomonadati; Spirochaetota.
AACUAACGCUGGCGGCGCGUCUUAAGCAUGCAAGUCGGACGGGAACUUUGGGGGGUAACUCCUGAGGUGAGAGUGGCGAACGGGUGAGUAACACGUAGGUGAUCUGCCCUUGGGUGGGGAAUAGCCCAUGGAAACAUGGGGUAAUACCGCAUGAGGUCUUGAGCUUUUGAGCUCUUGAUGAAGGGAGCAAUUGCUUCGCCUGGGGAUGAGCCUGCGGUCCAUUAGCUAGUUGGUGAGGUAAGGGCCCACCAAGGCGACGAUGGAUAGCCGGCCUGAGAGGGUGAACGGCCACACUGGAACUGAGACACGGUCCAGACUCCUACGGGAGGCUG